CANGANGNUCCCGNAGUCGUUAUCCNGGAUUUAUUGGGCGUAAAGCGUCUGUAGUUGGUUUGAAUAGUCAGAUGACAAAUCCCGAUGCUUAACAUCGGAUCCUCAUUUGAAACGUUUAGACUAGAGCGCGUAAGAGGCAGAUGGAACUUACAGUGUAGGAGUGAAAUCCGUUGAUAUUGUAGGGAACACCAAAGGCGAAGGCAUUCUGCUGGGACGCCGCUGACAAUGAGAGACGAAAGCGUGGGUAGCGAAUGGGAUUAGAUACCCCAGUAGUCCACGCCCUAAACGAUGAAUACUAGCUGCUUGGGGAUUCGACCCUCUGAGUGGCGAAGCUAACGCGUUAAGUAUUCCGCCUGGGAAGUACGGUCGCAAGACUAAAACUCGAAGGAAUAGACGGGGACCCGCACAAGCGGUGGAUCAUGCGGUUUAAUUCGUAGUUACGCGAGGAACCUUACCGAGGCUAGAAACUAAGUUGAAAGCUUUCCGAAAGGUUAGCCCCCGCAAGGCAAUUUAGCAGGUGCUGCAUGGUUGUCGUCAGCUCGUGCCGUGAGGUGUUCGGUUAAGUCCGGAAACGAGCGCAACCCUUAUCGUAUGUUAUAUUUUUCAUGCGAGACUGCCCUGGUUAACAGGGAGGAAGGCGGGGAUGACGUCAAAUCAGCAUGGCCCUUGACGCCUCGGGCGACACGCAUGAUACAAUGGCUGGU
RNAcentral lists this ribosomal RNA (704 nucleotides) under uncultured bacterium. RNAcentral's name for it is "bacterial SSU rRNA". It matches the Rfam family "Bacterial small subunit ribosomal RNA", at positions 522 to 1238 of the family's 1533-position model. The record is from RNAcentral.